GAUGAACGCUGGCGGCGUGCCUAAUACAUGCAAGUCGAGCGAACAGACGAGGAGCUUGCUCCUCUGACGUUAGCGGCGGACGGGUGAGUAACACGUGUAUAACCUACCUAUAAGACUGGUAUAACUUCGGGAAACCGGAGCUAAUACCGGAUAAUAUAUUGAACCGCAUUGUUCAAUAGUGAAAGACGGUUUUGCUGUCACUUAUAGAUGGAUCCGCGCCGCAUUAGCUAGUUGUUAAGGUAACGGCUUACCAAGGCAACGAUGCGUAACCGACCUGAGAGAGUGAUCGGCCACACUGGAACUGAGACACGGUCCAGACUACUACGGGAGGCAGCAGUCGGGAAUCGUCCGCAAUGGGCGAGAGCCUGACGGAGCAACGCCGCGUGAGUGAUGAAGGUCUUCGGAUCGUAAAACUCUGUUAUUAGGGAAGAACAAAUGUGUAAGUAACUAUGCACGUCUUGACGGUACCUAAUCAGAAAGCCACGGCUAACUACGUG
This 497-nucleotide ribosomal RNA is filed under the name uncultured bacterium. Its description in RNAcentral is "partial 16S ribosomal RNA". It matches the Rfam family "Bacterial small subunit ribosomal RNA", at positions 28 to 507 of the family's 1533-position model. The record is from RNAcentral.